RNAcentral lists this ribosomal RNA (128 nucleotides) under Escherichia coli. RNAcentral describes it as "partial 23S ribosomal RNA". It matches the Rfam family "Bacterial large subunit ribosomal RNA", at positions 1 to 127 of the family's 2925-position model. Lineage: Bacteria; Pseudomonadati; Pseudomonadota; Gammaproteobacteria; Enterobacterales; Enterobacteriaceae. The record is from RNAcentral.
GGUUAAGCGACUAAGCGUACACGGUGGAUGCCCUGGCAGUCAGAGGCGAUGAAGGACGUGCUAAUCUGCGAUAAGCGUCGGUGAGGUGAUAUGAACCGUUAUAACCGGCGAUUUCCGAAUGGGGAAAC